UCCCUGGUGGUCUACUGGCUAGGAAUCAGCACUUUCACUGUUGUGGCCCCAGGUUCAAUUCCUGGUCGAGGAA
RNAcentral lists this transfer RNA (73 nucleotides) under Ovis aries (sheep). It matches the Rfam family "tRNA". Rfam says of the family: Transfer RNA (tRNA) molecules are approximately 80 nucleotides in length. Their secondary structure includes four short double-helical elements and three loops (D, anti-codon, and T loops). Further hydrogen bonds mediate the characteristic L-shaped molecular structure. tRNAs have two regions of fundamental functional importance: the anti-codon, which is responsible for specific mRNA codon recognition, and the 3' end, to which the tRNAs corresponding amino acid is attached (by aminoacyl-tRNA synthetases). tRNAs cope with the degeneracy of the genetic code in two manners: having more than one tRNA (with a specific anti-codon) for a particular amino acid; and 'wobble' base-pairing, i.e. permitting non-standard base-pairing at the 3rd anti-codon position. The record is from Rfam by way of RNAcentral. Lineage: Eukaryota; Metazoa; Chordata; Mammalia; Artiodactyla; Bovidae.